RNAcentral lists this small RNA (500 nucleotides) under Malus domestica (apple). RNAcentral describes it as "sRNA MD15G0237600". Lineage: Eukaryota; Viridiplantae; Streptophyta; Magnoliopsida; Rosales; Rosaceae. The record is from RNAcentral.
AUGCAGAAAGAACCUAAUACCAAUUGAUACAUCAUGGUCGUUGCCAAUGAAGUUAGAUGGCGAGUUCAAAAUAUGUGAAAAGCGCAUUGUGACGCACACAACAUACAGAGAUUCACGUCAAACUGCAGCUGAUAGUAAUAUAAUAUACAGACGGAUGGGAACAACUAAAACUUCCAUACAAGUUUGAUUGAAUUGAUGCAAAUUCAACACAAGAAACAAAACCCAAGAUCACAAUCUUGCAAGGAAAGAAGAAGGAAAGCCACAUCCAAUCCAAGAUUUCAGAACCAAUUUGACCAAAGCUCAAGACUUUCCAAAUCUUAAGGGGCUAACGAGAGGUGGGGCCCAAACAGCCAUGCAUGGAUAAAGUGCUGUGGAUCAAGAACUUUCAUGGAUGAUAAGAGUGGCCGGGGAAGUAGAAGCGCAGAAGCAGUAAAGGGAGGCGGACUUUGGAAGCUUAUUGAAUAAGUUAAAAGAGAGGAGGGUUGCAUUGCACCAGUAUA